This 628-nucleotide long non-coding RNA is filed under the name Setaria italica (foxtail millet). Its description in RNAcentral is "long non-coding RNA (SITA_LNC001294)". Lineage: Eukaryota; Viridiplantae; Streptophyta; Magnoliopsida; Poales; Poaceae. The record is from RNAcentral.
GCUUGUUCAAUCCUUGGUGAUCAAUCGUGGCCACGACUACGAUCCAGUAAUUAGCAACCUAUAUUUAAAUCUGUGCAAUGAACACCAAGGGUCGGCAGCAUGGCAGUGACCGGUCUGUGCAAUGAACACUUGGUCAGGUAUGGGCCAACAAUCUCCAAUCCUUGGUAAGGCCUGUACCCUUGGCUCUCCACGUCGAGAUCAGCGAGGGAAUCAACCUCUCUGAUGUGGGGAGCGAGAGGGGAAUCAUCGCAAUUCACUUUCUGAUGUUACCAAUCGAUUCCCUAGAUGUGCAUGACAACUCUUGCAUCACUGCUCUAAUUGCACCUCGACAAGUGGCAGAAGAAGAGCCUCUGUUCUCCGGUGACUUAGUGCUACUCAGGUACGCUUUCUGUCACAUUCUUUUAUUUUUCUGCUAUCUAUGCUAUGUUGCAGAAAACUUAAAAGACAUGGAUAUUUCUGUUGGUCUCCAUAUUAAUCCAUAUCUCUUUAAUUCUACCAUCAUCCAGCUUCUCUCUGACUCAUCAGGAGGAUAUGGUGGUCUCCGGCUUGAUGCUGCAGCUGGUCACACGUUUGCUUCAACUGAUUGAGUUGAUGUGCCUGCAUGAUUUAUUUUCCAAGAAUAGAAUAA